Molecule: ribosomal RNA, 450 nt
Filed under: uncultured bacterium
Lineage: Bacteria
Description: bacterial SSU rRNA
Rfam family: Bacterial small subunit ribosomal RNA
Source: RNAcentral
GUGGGGAAUAUUGGACAAUGGGCGAAAGCCUGAUCCAGCCAUGCCGCGUGUGUGAAGAAGGUCUUCGGAUUGUAAAGCACUUUAAGUUGGGAGGAAGGGCAGUAAGUUAAUACCUUGCUGUUUUGACGUUACCGACAGAAUAAGUACCGGCUAACUUCGUGCCAGCAGCCGCGGUAAUACGAAGGGUGCAAGCGUUAAUCGGAAUUACUGGGCGUAAAGCGCGCGUAGGUGGUUUUGUAAGUUGGAGGUGAAAUCCCCGGGCUCAACCUGGGAACUGCCUCCAAAACUGCAUGACUAGAGUACGGUAGAGGGUAGUGGAAUUUCCUGUGUAGCGGUGAAAUGCGUAGAUAUAGGAAGGAACACCAGUGGCGAAGGCGACUACCUGGACUGAUACUGACACUGAGGUGCGAAAGCGUGGGGAGCAAACAGGAUUAGAUACCCGAGUAGUCC